This 469-nucleotide ribosomal RNA is filed under the name Granulicatella adiacens. Its description in RNAcentral is "bacterial SSU rRNA". It matches the Rfam family "Bacterial small subunit ribosomal RNA", at positions 28 to 477 of the family's 1533-position model. Lineage: Bacteria; Bacillati; Bacillota; Bacilli; Lactobacillales; Carnobacteriaceae. The record is from RNAcentral.
GACGAACGCUGGCGGCGUGCCUAAUACAUGCAAGUCGAACGAGAGCGACUGGUGCUUGCACUGGUCAAUCUAGUGGCGAACGGGUGAGUAACACGUGGGUAACCUGCCCAUCAGAGGGGGAUAACAUCCGGAAACGGAUGCUAAAACCGCAUAGGUCUUCGAGCCGCAUGGCUUGAAGAGGAAAAGAGUCGCAAGCUUCUGCUGAUGGAUGGACCCGCGGUGCAUUAGCUAGUUGGUGAGGUAACGGCUCACCAAGGCCGUGAUGCAUAGCCGACCUGAGAGGGUGAUCGGCCACAUUGGGACUGAGACACGGCCCAAACUCCUACGGGAGGCAGCAGUAGGGAAUCUUCCGCAAUGGACGCAAGUCUGACGGAGCAACGCCCUCGUGAGUGAAGAAGGUUUUCGGAUCGUAAAACUCUGUUGUUAGAGAAGAACAAGUGCUAGAGUAACUGUUAGCGCCUUGACGGUA